This is a long non-coding RNA of Neopsephotus bourkii (Bourke's parrot), 2720 nucleotides long. RefSeq lists it as uncharacterized. The transcript has 3 exons. The record is from RefSeq and is a predicted model, not a curated record. NCBI's taxonomy places the organism in Eukaryota, Metazoa, Chordata, Aves, Psittaciformes, Psittacidae.
CUGAUAAAUUACUGGACUGUGAGGAUUAGAUAUCCUAGAGAUUAAAAUUUAAAUUAGCUCUUUCAGGCAGAAAUUACUACAUACAAAACACAUUAUCUAGAAACCUAAAUUUUACAAACGGAAUAAUUGUUCAUUUAUUGAGUAUUACCAUGGCCAGUUUGCUCAGAGGGAAACAGCACAAAGGUGCAUUAGAAGUAGUUUUUCAAGAGUAAAUGUGAGAUAAGGCACUACUACCAUGUUCCCAGUCUUUCAAGGUCCACAGAAAACAGUGGGAAAUAGCUGAGGUUUGACUGAACAGCUCAUUUCAACUUGCAUAGCAAUGCAUCUCAAACAGGAGGAAUUAAGCAUUAAAGCAACUCUGACAUGAGAAGGGAUGCUGGUACAUACUAGAAAGCAAAACGAUUGAUGAGCCUCACAGAAACCAACCAAAUAGAUACCAAAAGCCAAACUGGUGAUGUGAAACACUUGGAAAAGAAAUAUGAGUGUACAUAUAUUUUUUGCCUAAAGGACAUGGUAAUGGGGGAGACCUAUGUUUUACAGUAAUAUUUGACCUAGAUUAUUCCUCAUAUCUUUCAAAGUGAAGAUUUUAUUAACUUUAGUGAGUUUGAGAUCAGCACAGCUCAGAGUCAAAUGCCAGACUGGAAGAAGAGAAAAGCACCCUCAAACUUCCAAAAGAUGUGUAUGAGUGAAGCUGGUAUUACUGUAAAAGCUUUAGGUGGAAGACCUGUGAUGGGAAAGAAACUGAAUAGUGCAAUACUUGUGUAUAUAGCUAGAUGGCUGCAAUGACACACUAAAAAAGUCCACAUUUGCUAAUUCAUUGCGGGUUUUCCUUUUAUUUCCUAUUUUGCUUCAUAUAAAACAAUCUUUUCUGUCUUCAUUUUCUUGACAUUUUUAUUAUGUACAAACUCCAUCUACUUUUGUCAUCUGCUUCUUUCUAAAUAAAGUUAACCAACUUCAAGAUUUGCAUCAAAUGAUUUUGGGCAAUGACAACUUUUAAGCUGAGACUGUAUUUCAUUUUUGAGUAAAAUGGUCAGUCUUUAAUUGCUCUCCGCAGCUGUUUCUUCAAAUACAGAAAUACAGAGAGACAUUAAAAAGAAUUUAAGGGAAGUACACGUAUUUAGAGAACUAUCUUUUUUUAAAAGUAAUGUUCUGGCAGGCAACCUGUUUUUAGAAUCAUUUUAUACCCUCACAGAAUAUGAUCUCUUAGGAGCUCUCGCAUUACCUUCAGGCAGUAAAUUGUCACAAAAGAAAACCUAACAGAAAGAUGAGAGAAGCGUUGGCAGGCGUGGGAGGGGGAACACGUCUUAGCAGCUCACACAGGCAUUUCAGAACGUUUGAGGGGGGGUGUGCUGUGAGUGUGUUAGUUUAAAAGAUUAAAGUUUGCAAUCUGCACUGAGAGGAGGGUUCUUGCUAAAGUCUGUAUACCAAAGCUGGCUGUGAAUUGAAGAACUGUUGUAAUUAGAUUACUGUAAAUACAAUAAGAAACUCACUCCUGGUGGUCUGGGGAGGGGUGUCAUAGGGCACUGGAGAAUUGUGUUGGCAGGAUUUGGGACAGUUUGACUGAAAGCAGAGAACACAGUCUCAAAAUCCUUUUAAUCUUCCCCCCACUCAGUUCUUUGGGGAUUUGUUUGUCAUUAAGUAACAGUCAAAAGAUUAAGGAAGUAUAAAAUGACAUUAAAGCUCACAAGUACUUCUAUAAAAUUAUCAGUGCUAGUGUAGUCUUCAGCAGGGAUUGCUUCUGCCAAGACUGUCUAGAGCCAGGCAAAACUAAAAGAGAAGAGGCAAGCAGGCACAAAAGCAAAGCCUGGACCGGAAUACCACUGCUCUGCUAGCGCUUCGAACACACGGCUUCCAAAGCAGUGGCUGUUGCUAUGUGUCUGGGCUCAACAAGCUUAAACUUUGCAUGGCCCAUGCUAAACUAAUUUGAGUCAAUUUGUCUACAUCAUUUCAACAAUCGUUCUGUGCAUUUUGAAUCGUACAUACAACACUGCAUGAUAAAGGCCCACCGAGCAGAUGCCGACUGCUCAUUCUGCCGUGGCCUAGCUGUUGCUAGUUCUUCACCAUGGUUUCUCCAUAUCCUAGUGACAAUGUUAGUUUUUCGAUGGUGAGGUUAAGUCUGUGCCUGGCUAGUUAAGACUUUUCUUUACAGAGGACAGCUCCUAUAACAACUGCCAGCUCUAAGCAUGACCUUUAAAAAUGAAAUGAGGGAGUGUUAACUGGAGUGGGUUUUUUUUUUUUCCCUAAUCUCCCAAGGGGGCUCAAAGGGAUACAAGGAGAUUUUGCAAGUAAAGUUUUAAGCCUGCACAAGAAAGAGACACCAAUAUCGGGAGCUCUUAUCACAAGAAAGCUGAUCUAACCUGCUUACAAUUAAAUAGUUUCAGCAUAAUGGGGUUUGACUCAUCUGUAAACAUGCACUUUGCAACACAGUUUUAUUUUUGAAACCGAAAUCACACAAGAAUAAAGAAUUAAAGCAGCUCCACUCUGUGCCUAGGCAAGUUGAGUAGGGCGAAGGUGCACAUGAAGACAGACCUGAGAUGGUCCUUCCUGCAGCGCUACAGCUAAUAAAGAUGUGGCAGAGGGCUGUGGUCACAAAAGCAUAUUAGGAGAAGGAAAGGUAGAUAUGGCUCCGCUCUUCAUUGCCAUCUUGCCAUGCAGAGAAAGAAAGUACUUUGGUUUCCUAUGGACCUGUUUGCCAGCUUUUAUGGCCACAAGGUACCAAA